GACGAACGCUGGCGGCGUGCUUAACACAUGCAAGUCGAGCGGUAAGGCCCUUUCGGGGGUACACGAGCGGCGAACGGGUGAGUAACACGUGGGUGACCUGCCCUCAGCUCUGGGAUAAGCCUGGGAAACUGGGUCUAAUACUGGAUAUGACUCCACGGUGCAUGUCGUGGGGUGGAAAGCCUUGUGCGGCUGAGGAUGGGCCCGCGGCCUAUCAGCUUGUUGGUGGGGGAUGGCCUACCAAGGCGACGACGGGUAGCCGGCCUGAGAGGGCGACCGGCCACACUGGGACUGAGACACGGCCCAGACUCCUACGGGAGGCAGCAGUGGGGAAUCUUGCGCAAUGGGCGAAAGCCUGACGCAGCGACGCCGCGUGAGGGAUGACGGCCUCGG
Molecule: ribosomal RNA, 390 nt
Filed under: uncultured bacterium
Lineage: Bacteria
Description: bacterial SSU rRNA
Rfam family: Bacterial small subunit ribosomal RNA
Source: RNAcentral